Peromyscus maniculatus bairdii (prairie deer mouse) is the source of this 129-nucleotide non-coding RNA. Lineage: Eukaryota; Metazoa; Chordata; Mammalia; Rodentia; Cricetidae. The record is from RefSeq and is a predicted model, not a curated record.
UUCCGGGGCUGGAGAGAUGGCUCAGAGGUUAAGAGCACUGACAGCUCUUCCAGAGGUCCUGAGUUCAAUUCCCAGCAACCACAUGAUGGCUCACAACCAUCUGUAAAGAGACUUGGUGCCCUCUGCUGU